GUCCAACCCACCGCGCCACCGCGCCACCGCGCCUCCCUAGAAAAAUCACAUGCUUAGGAAAUUAAGAUAGCUUAUAUUAGCAUGAUUAAAAGACUCCGCCUUUGCCCUUUGCGCUCUUUCACUUCAGCGAUGAAGCCCAGAAAACUGCUGCUCAGGUUGGAGCGAAUUCAGCAGAAGUAGCGGUCGCGUUAAUGCGGACACGCGGCCAAAAAUAAAGUCACUAGACAAACGUUGCCAUGGAAACCCGGAGCUCCUCCACUCAUGUGCGGGACUGUCGAAGCGCCCACGGGAUAGCAUGUCACCGCACGGCACGGGGCUGCGCGCCCUGCUCCUCCUCGGCUUCCACGUGCUUUUGUCCGCGCGCAGUGUUGCAGCCUCAUGUGAUGUUACGAAGAAUGAAGAAUUUAGUCAGUGUUUCGGAGCUCUGGGACAACCUGUGUUCAUAGACCUCAUUAAUGACACCACCGGUUAUGAGAUCAGCUUAAAAAAUUCUCAGAAUGAACGGAUUUUCAAUUUUAAGUACGGAAGUACCACAUAUUAUGCGUGUUGUUUAGUGUUUUUUAACAAUGGCACCUUGAGGAUGGACAAAGGUAAGAAAAAUUACUCCAGCAAAUACAACUUGGAGAUACAUGAUUUAGAUGGAACAUUCUUACAAAGCAGGAAGAUUCAGCUCGCCAUUGAAAAACCUGUGUCCUCACCAGUGUUGUCCACACUAUGUUUAUCCCAUGGAAAGCUGAAGGUGUCCUGCUCCACUGAGGGGGACAAUCCCCAGUACACCUGGAGUCUGGGGGACGGGCCCCUUGAGGGGUACGAUGGGAAAGGUGCUGUUGUACUGGGGAUGGAUGUGAGUGGAGAUGUGACCUGUACUGUGUGGAAUAAUGUCAGCAGAGAAAGCAGCACCUUGAGACUCCCCACCUGUACAGAAACUGGAGCCUCUAUGAAUUGCACCUUAGUUAAUGGUGUAAUGACAAACAGCACGAAAGGUAUGUGCCUUCUGCAUACAGAAUCAGUUAAAAGUAUUCAUACUGUAAUAUUGUUCUCCAGUGUUUAUAAUAAUUUGUAAUUCUGUUUGUCUUCUAGAUUCCUGUGGAUUAGUUUCGGUUGCAGUGGGAGCAACCUUUGCCCUGUCAGUCUUGUUAAUAAUAAUGUACUACCACUAUAAGAAAAAAGCACAAUCAUAAGUGAUAAUGUCAUGCUGAUAAGUGCACAUAAAUUGUUCAAUACUCCUUGUUCUCAUCUCAGUGUUUCCAGUUCUAUAGAGAAUAUCGCCUUUGCUGUACAAACUCCUGGUUUUCUUUGGUAAUUUUCAACAUGAGCCGCACUCUUUGACUGUUUGAACGAGUUUUGGAAUUUUGUGUAACGGUGCCUUUUGAAAUUUUGUUCACAUAGUGCUUGUUAUGUGGUGUCAUUAUACCGUAAGUUCUUUUUCACUAUUGUUGCGAAGAAGUGUUUACGUUCUUGGAGACCCUUAUACAGAAUGUGUUAUGUAUCAUGUCAAAUAAAGGCUUUAAUAAAAGAUACA
RNAcentral lists this long non-coding RNA (1522 nucleotides) under Scleropages formosus (Asian bonytongue). Its description in RNAcentral is "lncRNA (ENSSFOG00015027068.1)". The record is from RNAcentral. Lineage: Eukaryota; Metazoa; Chordata; Actinopteri; Osteoglossiformes; Osteoglossidae.